GUUGUGGUUUUGUACUGUUUAUGAUAUCUAUUCCUGCGAAUAUUCACUGACGUUAUUUAAAUGAAUUAAACUGAUCAAUCCCUCAGCCGCCAAUAACAUUAGCACAUAUGGAAACACUGUGGUUGCAGCGAGUGAAGAAAAUGAUGAAGAGGACUAUGUCAACGUAGAAACCUUUGUCAAAAAUAGAAAAUAUGAAGACCUGAAAAAAGGAUGCGAUGCAGAAAUGUAUAUGAAAAAGGAGUUGCUUACCACUAAAAAUAAUGAGAAUGCUCCAGGAUCCAUGAACAAGUGUGGAAACAACCAAAGUGAAGGGCCAGAGGCAAGUGAGGAAGAUGAGUCCGACUAUGAAAAUGCAGAUAUCUUCACAGAGAGGGAUUUUGCUGAAGACAUCUAUGAUGAAGACAGUGAGUCUUUAGACCUGGAGCUGCUCACUUCAUGUAAAUCUGGAAGGGAGAAUGACUAUGAAGAGGAUGACAACAUAUACGCAAACUAUGAGUGAAGGCCUUGUAAUACGAAUGCUGAUGCAGAGAUAUUGAUACCAGGAGAGGCAUGAAAGGUUUGCUUUGUGAGUUGAAUUAUAAGGGCUUAAAAAAACAACUUUUUCAUAAAAAUGUUCACUUAGUAGAUAAGAGGUAAGGUUUGUUUGAAUAUGAAUUAGAAUUCCAAUGUAAAUAGUUUGCGUGUUUGAUUUCCAGUUGUAUUGUUGCCAGGUAAUUAUAU
RNAcentral lists this long non-coding RNA (720 nucleotides) under Oncorhynchus kisutch (coho salmon). RNAcentral's name for it is "lncRNA (ENSOKIG00005002177.1)". Lineage: Eukaryota; Metazoa; Chordata; Actinopteri; Salmoniformes; Salmonidae. The record is from RNAcentral.